This 64-nucleotide transfer RNA is filed under the name Sypharochiton pelliserpentis. Its description in RNAcentral is "tRNA-Ala". The record is from RNAcentral. RNAcentral also lists the same sequence under 1 other name. Lineage: Eukaryota; Metazoa; Mollusca; Polyplacophora; Chitonida; Chitonidae.
GGAAUAAUACUUUAAAUAAAAGAUUUGAUUUGCAAUUAAAAAAUAGGUAUAUUCCUUUAUUCCA